GCACGACUAGCCUCGUCGUCACUGUAAAGCAUAGAUAAAGUCCGGUUGAGGCGGACUGGGGGUUCGGAUUCGGGGCGGUGAAGAGGAGAGCAGGGGGAGAUGGACCAGGUGCUGAACAAGGUGGGGAGCUACUGGUUCAGCAAGAGGGCCAGCAAGGAGAUCGACUCCAUCGGCGACGACCUCAACUCAGUCUCUUCCAGUAUUGGCGGGGGAGCUAAAUGGAUGGUGAACAAGAUCAAAGGGAAGCUGCAGAAAGCAUUACCAGAUCUUCUCAAAGAAUAUGACAUGCCAGCAGGCCUCUUCCCACGGGACACAACUAAUUACGAGUUCAAUGAAGAGACAAAGAAGCUGACAGUGUACAUCCCGUCAGCUUGUGACGUCGGGUACAAGGACUCAUCGGUGGUGCGGUUCUUCACCUGUGUGACCGGCUACCUCGAGAAGGGAAAGCUUUCCGAAAUUGAGGGCAUGAAGACCAAGGUGCUUGUAUGGACCAAGGUGACCUCCAUCAAGACCGAGGGCUCAAAGGUCCAUUUCACUGCGGGCAUGAAGAAGACCCGCAGCCGCGAUGCGUAUGAGGUUGUCAGAGAUGGCAUCAUCAUAGACAAGUUCUAGAGCAUACCUGUACCUGGGCUGACAGGUGCAAUGUAAUUACUUAGAUAUGCUACAUUGAAAUCUGUUGUGCUAUCGGAUCGGCCUAACCAACUGUGUUGCUGAAAACUUCCAUCCAUGACUUUUUCUAUAUCUUGACAAUCUGUGCUUGUUUUGCUGUCAUCCUGAUUCUUCCACCAGACCAGAAAGGGUGACCGGACCAGGGCGCCAUGUUGUAUCCAGUUUUUAGUUUUGAAUUCCUCUUGAUCUUUGGGUGUGAUGUGGCCUGUAAACGCCAUCAAGUUUGGAUGCAGGUGGCAAUGCAGGAAAUGGG
This 922-nucleotide ribosomal RNA is filed under the name Triticum aestivum (bread wheat). RNAcentral's name for it is "partial small subunit ribosomal RNA". The record is from RNAcentral. Lineage: Eukaryota; Viridiplantae; Streptophyta; Magnoliopsida; Poales; Poaceae.